This 419-nucleotide ribosomal RNA is filed under the name uncultured Bacteroidota bacterium. RNAcentral's name for it is "bacterial SSU rRNA". It matches the Rfam family "Bacterial small subunit ribosomal RNA", at positions 608 to 1029 of the family's 1533-position model. Lineage: Bacteria; Pseudomonadati; Bacteroidota. The record is from RNAcentral.
CUCAACCGCAGAAGUGCCCUUGAAACUGUUGUUCUUGAGUCCCGGAGAGGCUGUCGGAAUUCGUGGUGUAGCGGUGAAAUGCGUAGAUAUCACGAGGAACACCAGAGGCGAAAGCGGACAGCUGGACGGGUACUGACACUCAAGCACGAAAGCGUGGGGAGCAAACAGGAUUAGAUACCCUGGUAGUCCACGCCGUAAACGAUGGAUGCUCGCCGUUGUCUCGUCAAGGGGCAGUGGCUAAGUUAACGCGUUAAGCAUCCCGCCUGGGGAGUACGAUCGCAAGGUUGAAACUCAAAGGAAUUGACGGGGGCCCGCACAAGCGGUGGAGCAUGUGGCUCAAUUCGAUGCAACGCGAAGAACCUUACCUGGGCUCGAACGCUAGGCGCCCGCUCCUAAAAGGGAGCUUUCCGCAAGGACAC